AGUGAACGCUGGCGGUAGGCCUAACACAUGCAAGUCGAACGGCAGCACAGUAAGAGCUUGCUCUGACGGGUGGCGAGUGGGGGACGGGGGAGGAAUACAUCGGAAUCUACUUUUUCGUGGGGGAUAACGUAGGGAAACUUCCCCUAAUACCGCAUACGACCUGCGGGUGAAAGCAGGGGCUUCUCGGUCCUUGGGCGGUGGAGUAAGCCGAUGUCGGAUUGGCUAGUUGGGGGGGUAAAGGCCCGCCAAUGCGCCGAGCGGUAGCUGUUCUGAGAGGAUGAACAGCUACACUGGCUCUGAGACACGGUCCAGACGCCUACGGGAGGCAGCAGUGGGGAAUCUUGCACAAUGCGCGCAAGGCUGAUCCAGCCAUACCGCGUGGGUGAAGAAGGCCUUCGGGUUGUAAAGCCAUUUUGUUGGUAAAGAAAAACAGCACGUUAAUCCCGCGCUGUUAUGACGGUACCCAAAGAAUAAGCCCCGGCUAACUUCGUG
This 492-nucleotide ribosomal RNA is filed under the name uncultured bacterium. Its description in RNAcentral is "partial 16S ribosomal RNA". It matches the Rfam family "Bacterial small subunit ribosomal RNA", at positions 29 to 507 of the family's 1533-position model. The record is from RNAcentral.